GAAGUGCAUUGACCCAAGGGAACGAUUCUUGUUGAAUGGGAGAAAGGCCUUCCAGAAGAACUGCACGGAGACUCACUAUCUUGACCUUCCCAUCAUGCUUCAGGCACAGACUCAAGUUGUGCAGAGUGAUCCUCAGUAGGAGGCAAGCUGCCAAUUCUCCUUAGCUCCUACUUUCUACAGAGGAGGUCAUCUAUACAUAUAGGAACUAUAAAGGAGCCCAACUGGAACAAACAAACGAACGACAAAUAGGCUAACCUCAACUGUACCCUAGGACCUCCUACUAGUGUGGUAUGAAAUAGUCACACAGAAGGUGGUUUUGGUAAGGGCAAAACUUCCUUCCAGCCUGAUAUCUAACUGUGCUAGGAAGAGGAAUGCACAGCAAAAGAAAAGGCGCCCCAGAGCACCCUCGCUUAUACAGCAGAAUUCAUACAGUAGCAGGGGCUACAAACCAACUGGUAAGACAUGGAUUGCAAGAUCAGCUCAGAAGAGAGAGAGGGCCACUGAUUUGCAUCUUCAGUCUUCAUAAACAAAGCAAGUCACCUUUGCCUUUCUGGAACUUCUCCAUAUGCUUACCUAGAAGUUCGCCUGGUGAUAGCCUGCAGCAGAGUUGAAGGCCAAGGGAGAACUAAGCGAUCUGGACCUAGAAGAGACAGCGCUGUGAGCAGCAGAGAGUGCUGGGGGCUGAGAGCCAGCUAUUAUGAGAAGGAAGUCCCAUUUUCCGAGUUUUAACUUUGAAAAAUCACAAUACGUUUUUCUAUGUUGUCAACAAACUUCAGUAAAGAACACUUUACUGAGUGUUGAA
RNAcentral lists this long non-coding RNA (802 nucleotides) under Mus pahari (shrew mouse). Its description in RNAcentral is "lncRNA (MGP_PahariEiJ_G0005510.1)". The record is from RNAcentral. Lineage: Eukaryota; Metazoa; Chordata; Mammalia; Rodentia; Muridae.